AUUGAACGCUGGCGGAAUGCUUUACACAUGCAAGUCGAGCGGCAGCGCGGGGCAACCUGGCGGCGAGCGGCGAACGGGUGAGUAAUACAUCGGAACGUACCCAGUUGUGGGGGAUAGCCCGGCGAAAGCCGGAUUAAUACCGCAUACGACCUGAGGGUGAAAGGGGGGGAUCGCAAGACCUCUCGCAGUUGGAGCGGCCGAUGGCGGAUUAGCUAGUUGGUAGGGUAAAGGCCUACCAAGGCGACGAUCCGUAGCGGGUCUGAGAGGACGACCCGCCACACUGGAACUGAGACACGGUCCAGACUCCUACGGGAGGCAGCAGGGGGGAAUUUUGGACAAGGGGGGCAACCCUGAUCCAGCCAUUCCGCGUGAGUGAAGAAGGCCUUCGGGUUGUAAAGCUCUUUUGUCAGGGAAGAAAUCUUCUGGGUUAAUACCCUGGGGGGAUGACGGUACCUGAAGAAUAAGCACCGGCUAACUACGUGCCAGCCGCCGCCGUAA
RNAcentral lists this ribosomal RNA (498 nucleotides) under uncultured bacterium. RNAcentral's name for it is "partial 16S ribosomal RNA". It matches the Rfam family "Bacterial small subunit ribosomal RNA", at positions 29 to 523 of the family's 1533-position model. The record is from RNAcentral.